Molecule: non-coding RNA, 45 nt
Filed under: Schistosoma curassoni
Lineage: Eukaryota; Metazoa; Platyhelminthes; Trematoda; Strigeidida; Schistosomatidae
Source: RNAcentral
AUCCAGCUCACGAGUCCAAAAUAGGACGAAACGCGCAUCCUGGAU